RNAcentral lists this ribosomal RNA (208 nucleotides) under uncultured Streptococcus sp. RNAcentral describes it as "partial 16S ribosomal RNA". It matches the Rfam family "Bacterial small subunit ribosomal RNA", at positions 1175 to 1382 of the family's 1533-position model. The record is from RNAcentral. Lineage: Bacteria; Bacillati; Bacillota; Bacilli; Lactobacillales; Streptococcaceae.
UGGGAUGACGUCAAUCAUCAUGCCCCUUAUGACCUGGGCUACACACGUGCUACAGUGGUUGGUACAACGAGUUGCGAGUCGGUGACGGCGAGCUAAUACUCUUAAAGCCAAUCUCAGUUCGGAUUGUAGGCUGCAACUCGCCUACAUGAAGUCGGAAUCGCUAGUAAUCGCGGAUCAGCACGCCGCGGUGAAUACGUUCCCGGGCCUU